Non-coding RNA from Peromyscus maniculatus bairdii (prairie deer mouse), 954 nucleotides. NCBI's taxonomy places the organism in Eukaryota, Metazoa, Chordata, Mammalia, Rodentia, Cricetidae. The record is from RefSeq and is a predicted model, not a curated record.
CAUGAGAUCCACCUGGCCCUGCUUCCCAGGUGCAGGGAUUAGAGAGUGCUGGAAUUAAGAGGCAUGUGUCACCACCAUUCCUGGCUCAUUGUUCUCUUCAUGACUGCCUUCCUGACUGGGUCUCUCGAGGAAUCGUGUCACAGAACAGAUGGAGGCAGGAGAAUUCCAAGAAGCCGGAAGGGGUAGCUAGUUGGGAAGAUGCAGAAAACAAAAACAAAAACAAAAAACAAACAAAAAACCCCAAACAAACAAAAAACCCAAAACAAACACAAAGUCCCAAUUUACAAACAAGAGUCAUGAACUGACACCUAAGGUUGUCCUCUAACCUACACACACAUACUGCAACAGGGGCAUGCCCACAUUCACACACAUAAAUGUGUUGUGAACAUACACACAAAUACCACCGAGGUUGUAAAUCACAUUCUUUCUGAAAAGUAAAUAAAUUCAUCACAGUCAUCACAAACAUUUUCUUUUAAAUUUUUUUAUUAAGAGAUUUUCUAUUCAUUUUACAUAUCAACCACAGAUUCCCCUGUCCUUCCUCCUCCCACUCCCAGCCUUUCCCUCCAAACCCCCCACCUCCUCCAAUGCAAGGUCUCCCAUGGGGAGUCUGCAGCAUCAUGAGCAUUUUCAAGGAUUUCCUGGAACUGGCUAUGAUUUCAUCUCUUGGCCCUUAGUAAAUUCACUUUUGAUGAUGAUUGCAGAGCAUCACCCACUGUUAACAUGUAUGACCAUACAUUUUCUUGUUGUACCAUACAGUAAUACUUCAUCUAACAUGAGUUUGUCUUUUAUUAAUUGUACAAGUCUUCUCCUUCACCUACCAUCAUGGGAACACCAUCAGCAACUGUAUCAGAAAUACUGACAGCAGACAAAGAAAAUUGCUUUAACAUUUUCUUACUACUUUCUAUAAAUAUUUUGAUUUAGUUGUAUCUUUGAAUGACAUUAGAGAAGCCAUCU